Molecule: long non-coding RNA, 1096 nt
Filed under: Zea mays
Lineage: Eukaryota; Viridiplantae; Streptophyta; Magnoliopsida; Poales; Poaceae
Description: long non-coding RNA (ZMAY_LNC003744)
Source: RNAcentral
UCUCUCAGCUUAGAAUUCUUGAAUAAAAAAGUUAUCAUGUCACAUUUGCUGCGUACAGCUGUAGUACGUACGUGAAGAACAUGUGAAUUGAGAUAGGAAAAUAUCUCGUCAACGUCGUUAUGCUUGUUCGCUUGGCUUCUAUUAUAUUACUCCAAAACGAACUACUUGUUCAUGCAGCUGGUACCGGCAAUAAUAGGUGGCUUGCCAUCUGCCAACCACUCGCUGCUGCUGCUGAAUACAUGAAUGGCAUAUAGGAACAAUAAAUAUGAGAUAUACUUUUUUAUAAUAUACUUGUUAAGCAAUAUGAUAUUAAUAUUCUUUAUCGAUCUAUUUAGUUAGAUAUUAGUCAUUGCAAGAAGAAUGUACCUUGCAUUCAUGAUUCAGGGUGACCGAGAGAGAGGGGUAUUACUAGUAGGAAUGCAAUCAAUAAGUGCUGGACUAUACAGAACAUGUUAUAUUAUACUAAUGUUGACGAGUUAUUAGUCGAGUCAAGCUAUACAAAUGCAAUUCUCUUAUUUAUCUAUAAAAAAGCCUUUUUCUUUUCUUUUCUUUUCUUAUGUUUCUUUAACCUAUGGUCUACCUUUUGUUUGGUAAAUAGUGCCCACUGAUGACUCUGCUCUGCUGCUGAGCUCUUCCUCCUGCCCCUGCCCCUGCCCCUCCCCCCUCCUAGUGCUAUGUAUAAAGGAAGCAAAGCAAUCCAUGGAGACCCAACCAUCAAUCCCAUUUCCCUCCCAUCUAGGCAGUCAGCAGGCAGUAGGCAGUAGGCUGCAUCUCAAUCUCCAUCUACACGACUGCACUCCUGCUCCUACUCCUACAGGAAACACACAAGAAAAGAAAAGAAAAGAUGAUGGAGGUGGAGAGGCCGAUGUGGGAGCUCAAGGAGGAGGAGGAGGAGCCGCCGCAGCUGCUCAUGGAGGCCGAGGAGGAUGACUAUGAGGAGGAGGAAGACACCUCCGCCCUCCUAUACACUAGGGAGAGAGAGAGCAUGAGGAAGAAGAUGACGACAACGAUGGCGGACCUGGACCUGGAGAUGGAGUCCUCCGACUCCGACUCCAACGCAGCAGCAUCAGCAGCAGUAGAGGAGGAGGCGGCGGCG